Molecule: ribosomal RNA, 1249 nt
Filed under: uncultured bacterium
Lineage: Bacteria
Description: bacterial SSU rRNA
Rfam family: Bacterial small subunit ribosomal RNA
Source: RNAcentral
GUGAAGCCCAGCUUGCUGGGUGGAUCAGUGGCGAACGGGUGAGUAACACGUGAGCAACCUGCCCUCCACUUCGGGAUAAGCCUUGGAAACGGGGUCUAAUACCGGAUAUGAGCUCGCAUCGCAUGGUGUGGGUUGGAAAGUUUUUCGGUGGGGGAUGGGCUCGCGGCCUAUCAGCUUGUUGGUGGGGUGAUGGCCUACCAAGGCGUCGACGGGUAGCCGGCCUGAGAGGGCGACCGGCCACACUGGGACUGAGACACGGCCCAGACUCCUACGGGAGGCAGCAGUGGGGAAUAUUGCACAAUGGGCGCAAGCCUGAUGCAGCGACGCCGCGUGAGGGAUGACGGCCUUCGGGUUGUAAACCUCUUUCAGCAGGGAAGAAGCGCAAGUGACGGUACCUGCAGAAGAAGCGCCGGCUAACUACGUGCCAGCAGCCGCGGUAAUACGUAGGGCGCAAGCGUUGUCCGGAAUUAUUGGGCGUAAAGAGCUCGUAGGCGGUCUGUCGCGUCUGGUGUGAAAUCCCGAGGCUCAACCUCGGGCUUGCAUCGGGUACGGGCAGACUAGAGUGCGGUAGGGGAGACUGGAAUUCCUGGUGUAGCGGUGGAAUGCGCAGAUAUCAGGAGGAACACCGAUGGCGAAGGCAGGUCUCUGGGCCGCAACUGACGCUGGGGAGCGAAAGCAUGGGGAGCGAACAGGAUUAGAUACCCUGGUAGUCCAUGCCGUAAACGUUGGGCACUAGGUGUGGGGCUCAUUCCACGAGUUCCGUGCCGCAGCUAACGCAUUAAGUGCCCCGCCUGGGGAGUACGGCCGCAAGGCUAAAACUCAAAGGAAUUGACGGGGGCCCGCACAAGCGGCGGAGCAUGCGGAUUAAUUCGAUGCAACGCGAAGAACCUUACCAAGGCUUGACAUGUACGAGAAAGCCCCCGAGACGGGGUUCUCUUUGGACACUCGUACACAGGUGGUGCAUGGUUGUCGUCAGCUCGUGUCGUGAGAUGUUGGGUUAAGUCCCGCAACGAGCGCAACCCUCGUCCUAUGUUGCCAGCGGGUUAUGCCGGGGACUCAUGGGAGACUGCCGGGGUCAACUCGGCGGAAGGUGGGGAUGACGUCAAAUCAUCAUGCCCCUUAUGUCUUGGGCUUCACGCAUGCUACAAUGGCCGGUACAGAGGGCUGCGAUACCGUAAGGUGGAGCGAAUCCCAAAAAGCCGGUCUCAGUUCGGAUUGGGGUCUGCAACUCGACCCCAUGAAGUCGGAG